Molecule: transfer RNA, 73 nt
Organism: Sugiyamaella lignohabitans
Lineage: Eukaryota; Fungi; Ascomycota; Dipodascomycetes; Dipodascales; Trichomonascaceae
Rfam family: tRNA
About the family: Transfer RNA (tRNA) molecules are approximately 80 nucleotides in length. Their secondary structure includes four short double-helical elements and three loops (D, anti-codon, and T loops).
Source: Rfam
UUCCACGUGGCCUAAUUGGCAAGGCGUCUGACUACGAAUCAGGAGAUUGCAGGUUCAAGCCCUGUCGUGGAAG